CCCUUAGAUGUCCUGGGCCGCACGCGUGCUACACUGACGCCUACAGCGAGUACUUCCCAGCCCCGAGAGGUGGCUGGUAAUCAGCAAUAGGCGUCGUGAUGGGGAUAGAUUUUUGGAAUUAUGGAUCUUGAACGAGGAAUGCCUAGUAAGCGCAGGUCAUUAGCCUGCGCUGAUUAAGUCCCUGCCCUUUGUACACACCGCCCGUCGCUCCUACCGAUUUCGAGUGGUCCGGUGAAUCUUUCGGACUGCGCGCGGCCUCGUGCCGUGUCGCGGAAAGUCAGGUAAACCUUAUCACUUAGAGGAAGGAGAAGUCGUANCA
RNAcentral lists this ribosomal RNA (319 nucleotides) under uncultured eukaryote. RNAcentral describes it as "partial 18S ribosomal RNA". It matches the Rfam family "Eukaryotic small subunit ribosomal RNA", at positions 1470 to 1796 of the family's 1831-position model. The record is from RNAcentral.